CACUCUACAGCUCUAUGAUCUAUGAGGUCCCUUCCAACCCAACCCAUGGCUCUGCAAUCCGUAAGGUCGACCUAUAAGAUCCCUUCCCACUCAACCCAACCACUCUACAACUCUAUGAUCUAUGAGGUCCCUUCCAACCCAACCACUCUAUGAUCUAUGAGGUCCCUUCCAACCCAACCCAUGGCUCUGCAAUCCGUAAGGUCGACCUAUAAGACCCCUUCCCACUCAACCCAACCAUUUUACGUCCCUAUGACCUAUAAGGCCCCUUCCAACCCAACCCAACCAUUCUAUGCCUCCGUGAUCAAUUAAGACCCUUUCCAACCCAACCAUUUGGUGGCUCUGGGAUCCAUAAGGACUCUUCCAAUCCCACCCAACCCAACCACACUACAGCUCUGUGACCCACACAGUCCCUUCCAACCCAACCACUCUACAACUCUAUGAUCUAUGAGGUCCAUUCCAACCCAACCCAUGGCUCUGCAAUCCGUAAGGUCGACCUAUAAGAUCCCUUCCCACUCAACCCAACCAUUUUACGUCCCUAUGACCUAUGAGGUCCCUUCCAACCCAACCACUUUAUGAUCUAUGAGGUUCCUUCCAACCCAACCCAACCAUUCCAUGGCUCCAUGACCGAUAAGAUCCCUUCCAACCCAACCACUCUACAGCUCUGUGAUCUACAAAGUCUUUUCCAACCCAACCACUCUAUGACUCUAUGAUCUGUGAGGCCCCUUCCAACCCAACCCAACCAUUCUAUGCCUCCGUGAUCAAUUAAGACCCUUUCCAACCCAACCAUUUGGUGGCUCUGGGAUCCAUAAGGACCCUUCCAAUCCCACCCAACCCAACCACACUACUGUUCAGCGACCCACACAGUCCCUUCCAACCCAACCACUCUACAGCUCUGUGAUCUAUGAGGUCCCUUCCAACCCAACCCAUGGCUCUGCAAUCCGUAAGGUCGACCUAUAAGAUCCCUUCCCACUCAACCCAACCAUUUUACGUCCCUAUGACCUAUAAGGUCCCUUCCAACCCAACCACUCUGUGAUCCAUAAGGACCCUUCCAAACCCACCCAACCCAACCACACUACAGCUCUGUGACCCACACAGUCCCUUCCAACCCAACCACUCUAUGACUCUAUGAUCUAUGAGGUCCCUUCCAACCCAACCCAUGGCUCUGCAAUCCGUAAGGUCGACCUAUAAGACCCCUUCCCACUCAACCCAACCAUUUUACGUCCCUAUGACCUAUGAGGUCCCUUCCAACCCAACCCAACCAUUCCAUGGCUCCAUGACUGAUAAGAUCCCUUCCAACCCAACCACUCUACAGCUCUGUGAUCUAUGAG
This 1328-nucleotide long non-coding RNA is filed under the name Gallus gallus (chicken). Its description in RNAcentral is "lncRNA (ENSGALG00010007760.1)". The record is from RNAcentral. Lineage: Eukaryota; Metazoa; Chordata; Aves; Galliformes; Phasianidae.